Molecule: long non-coding RNA, 680 nt
Filed under: Danio rerio (zebrafish)
Lineage: Eukaryota; Metazoa; Chordata; Actinopteri; Cypriniformes; Danionidae
Description: si:ch211-220m17.5 (ENSDARG00000104418.3)
Source: RNAcentral
AGCAACUGACAAAGAUACUACAGCUAAAGGCUUUUUGAGAAGAACCAGCCAACAUGAAGACAGUUCUGUCCGUCGCUUUCCUCGUCGUGGCUCUUUGCCUGGUGUGUGAUGCUGUGGAAGUUAAGGAAGGUGAUUUUUCCUUUACAUUGGAGUCGGUGAGAAUUCUCCAGCAGCUGGCUGAGCAACCGAAGACACAAAACCCUCGGCUGGCCAAGACGAGCUACUAUUCUGUGUGUUCCAAUCCAAGCCUGCCACAAGAGUUUGUUCCCUUGUGCAUGCAGAGAGGAGCUACAAUGUCCUUUGCUAGGCUAGCAUCUGUGCCUGUGGACGUCUGUGAAAUAUGUGCUUUCGCGGCUUGCACCGGCUGCUAAUUCCUCCCGUCCUCCCCCUCGCCUUCAUUAAAGGAAAUCUGCAUAUUUUCAAUCAUUGCCAUAAGUUCACAGAGUUGACCAUAUGAACAUUUGAAUAUUGCCUCAAAGGCAAUCUAAAAAUGGCAGCAGACGGUUGAUGAACUGUUACUUUAACACCCUUCCCCUCUUUUCCUUUCCCAUGUUUUUUUGUUACAGCACAUAUUUCAUUUAUUUAAAAAAGUGUCUUUUUAUUUUUCUAUUUCUCUGGGUUGUGUACUCCUGUGUGUGUGUGGUGAUGCCUCAGUGUUCAAUAAAAUGCAUCAAAUCUGA